Sapajus apella (tufted capuchin) is the source of this 1001-nucleotide long non-coding RNA. RefSeq lists it as uncharacterized. The record is from RefSeq and is a predicted model, not a curated record. The transcript is spliced from 3 exons. NCBI's taxonomy places the organism in Eukaryota, Metazoa, Chordata, Mammalia, Primates, Cebidae.
GCUCUGGGAAGGCAGUGUGUUUUGCCAUAAAUUUAGGUCAUUAAUUUGUAUCUGUUCUUUGUUUAUUUAAGAAACAGGACAAAAGGGCAGCUGCUGAAACAUUUGGCUGUGCCGAGGGGUAGUGGGCUCAACAUGCUGGAGUUCUGCACAUGGCCAGCUUGAGUUUGUAUCCACAGCUACAGGACAGAACUUUAUGGAAACACUUUGCCAAGCCAUGUGGUGCUCGGCUUCCCUUUGCAUCAAUACCCUUUUAAUUACCUGAUCCUGCGGGGGAAAAAGUUAGGGGAAAGUGUCAGUGCAAAAGCCCAGGAGCCUGCCGGGAAUCAGACUUUUAAAAAAAAUCAGCACCAGAAAAUGUCUGGCCAUUAUUCUACACGACAGCGAUAUAAAUCCUGCAACUGGCCUGCAAAGAAAAGCCCUCACUGUGAGAAGAUGUGGUAACUUUUUAAAUAUCAUGAGUUUGCUUGUCUCAGCCUGCGGACCUGUCCUCACAAGCCACCUGAAGUGUUAAUGGAUGCUCUCUUUUGAAGAAGUCAUAACUGAAAAUGUGGUUGGAACUCAGGACUGCUCUUACAGCGCAACCUCAUCAGCAGGCCCUUCCCGGGAACACUUUGCAAGUCUGAGGAAGCUGCAGGCCCCUGUGGUCACUGGACCUCUCUUCUCGGCAAGACGCAGCAGGCAGUUCUCUGUGGAGGGACCCAGACGGUCUGCAUUCAAGACUGCAAGAAAGACCCUCAGCAAGACCUGUCUUUUAUUUUCUCUUGUACAGUCUUUGGAUUCAACGUGAGGGUCACAGGCAAAUCCCUGAAGUCUUGCUCCCAGAAUAAAUGUGAAUUUCAUUCAAAGAAAGGAUGCAUUCUUUCCCAUCAUUGCAUUGUUUUGUGCUCAGGUGGUGCAGAGGAAAAUUUAAGAAGCAUCAAGCCACGUGAUUUCUGAGAAUAGCUGAAAAGAUGCUUUUCAACAUUGGUGGAGAAAGAAGGAAAAACAAAUAAAUUAGAUGU